RNAcentral lists this ribosomal RNA (467 nucleotides) under uncultured bacterium. Its description in RNAcentral is "partial 16S ribosomal RNA". It matches the Rfam family "Bacterial small subunit ribosomal RNA", at positions 29 to 507 of the family's 1533-position model. The record is from RNAcentral.
ACGAACGCUGGCGGCGUGCUUCACACAUGCAAGUCGCACGGAAAGGCCCUGCUUUUGUGGGGUGCUCGAGUGGCGAACGGGUGAGUAACACGUGAGUAACCUGCCCUUGACUUUGGGAUAACUUCAGGAAACUGGGGCUAAUACCGGAUAGGAGCUCCUGCUGCAUGGUGGGGGUUGGAAAGUUUCGGCGGUUGGGGGUGGACUCGCGGCUUAUCAGCUUGUUGGUGGGGUAGUGGCUUACCAAGGCUUUGACGGGUAGCCGGCCUGAGAGGGUGACCGGCCACAUUGGGACUGAGAUACGGCCCAGACUCUUACGGGAGGCAGCAGUGGGGAAUAUUGCACAAUGGGCGGAAGCCUGAUGCAGCAACGCCGCGUGCGGGAUGACGGCCUUCGGGUUGUAAACCGCUUUCGCCUGUGACGAAGCGUGAGUGACGGUAAUGGGUAAAGAAGCACCGGCUAACUACGUG